Molecule: RNA transcript, 462 nt
Organism: Galeopterus variegatus (Sunda flying lemur)
Lineage: Eukaryota; Metazoa; Chordata; Mammalia; Dermoptera; Cynocephalidae
Gene name: WD repeat-containing protein 20 pseudogene
Exons: 1
Source: RefSeq, a predicted model, not a curated record
CUGGACGGCGCCUGCGCGGUGGGCGUGAUCCGGGCACUUAGGGCAGGAUGAACGCUGCUUUCCAAGAUGGCGACGGAGGGAGGAGGGAAGGAGAUGAACGAGAUUAAGACCCAAUUCACCACUCGGGAAGGUCUGUACAAGCUACUGCCGCACUCGGAGUACAGCCGGCCCAACCGGGUGCCCUUCAACUCGCAGGGAUCCAACCCUGUCCGCGUCUCCUUCGUAAACCUCAACGACCAGUCUGGCAACGGCGACCGCCUCUGCUUCAAUGUGGGCCGGGAGCUCUACUUCUAUAUCUACAAGGGGGUCCGCAAGGUACCGACCCAGGCGUCGCCGGGGCCCGCCAACGACACGGGCAGAGGCCGGGGGCAGGGCGGUGACAAGUGGGACCAGGGUGACCGAUGGGGUGGCCGUCGCUCUUACUUUUUGAGUGGGCCGGUAACUCCACUGGGGUACUCCUGA